UACGAAGGGGGCUAGCGUUGUUCGGAAUUACUGGGCGUAAAGCGCGCGCAGGCGGUCUUCCAAGUCAGUGGUGAAAUCUCCGGGCUCAACCCGGAAACUGCCAUUGAUACUAUCAGUCUUGAAUAUCGUUGAGGUGGGCAGAAUAUGUCAUGUAGCGGUGAAAUGCAUAGAUAUGACAUAGAAUACCGAUUGCGAAGGCAGCUCACUAACCGAUCAUUGACGCUGAGGCACGAAAGCGUGGGGAUCAAACAGG
RNAcentral lists this ribosomal RNA (253 nucleotides) under uncultured bacterium. Its description in RNAcentral is "partial 16S ribosomal RNA". It matches the Rfam family "Bacterial small subunit ribosomal RNA", at positions 524 to 776 of the family's 1533-position model. The record is from RNAcentral.